CGGAGCGUCAGUUGUGACAGCAAAGAAACCAGGAGGAAAGCCAUACUUCAGGCACAGAGUGACCAAGACAGCUGCAGCCGGAGAGCCUCAGCGGGGCAGAGAGUGGGAGAAGCCAGCCCGUGGAGCGCGGACCACCCAGGCCGAGUGCUUUCAGUCCCGGGGCGGGCAUCGGGGUUUUCAAUAAAGAAAUCCUCAUGUGUUCCGGCUCCCCAAAUUCUUUCUUAGAAUACUGUCAAGUUGACAGUGAGCCUUUGGGCCCUGGACUUGGUUCAGACACGUGGGGUGCACACAGACAUUUAGUGAUUCCUAUUAGCCCUUGGAAAGUGAUCCUGGCUCCUGCUUCGGUCUCGUGAUUUCUAGCAGUCCUUCACGCUCCCGGGUGUCCACCCCGUGAAGGCGCGGAGCACGCUCUUUCUGCAGCUGCUCGUGGGAGUGCUCUGCCCCGGCUCCCUCCCUGUGCUGAUGAUGCUGGGGUUCUUGUUCGUGGAGUCGAAGAAUGAACUUCGCGAACACUCAAGGAUAGCAGCUUCCUGGGCUGGGAGCCUGUCACUCAAGACUGCCUGCUUUGCUCCCAAG
Long non-coding RNA from Manis pentadactyla (Chinese pangolin), 576 nucleotides. RefSeq lists it as uncharacterized. Lineage: Eukaryota; Metazoa; Chordata; Mammalia; Pholidota; Manidae. The transcript is spliced from 3 exons. The record is from RefSeq and is a predicted model, not a curated record.